GAGAACUGCUCUCUUGUGCUUCCUUCUGUGAUCAUGAGAACUGUAUAACUGUGCUUUCUCUUUUGCCCUGGCUGCUAGGAAAUUCUGCAGGUGUCAUAUUUUCGGUCUUAAUGUCCUAAAUGGAUGUCGGUGUUUCUUCAUAUGUCCUUUAUGGCCACUGUCUGUGUCCUGUUGGGAGAAGGGCAGGAGGGGAGGGAUGCAGUGUGGAAGCUCAUGCCUGUCCAGGCCAAGCACAAAUCCAUUUGCUGACAGCCCUACGUGCCUCGGAUUCUGAACGGCUUGGCCUCGGAGAGGACAGCACUGUCUCCGCAGCAGCAGCAGCAGCAGACCUAUGGUGCCAUCCACAACAUCAGCGGGACUAUCCCUGGACAGUGCUUGGCGCAGAGCGCCACGGGCAGUGUGGCUGCUGCCCCCCAGGAGGCCUGAGGCUGGGUCUCACUGCUCUGAAAAGACACAACCAGAAUGGCCUGGGGCUCAGGCCCUUGGCUGAGUGGGAAUGCGUUGGGACUGCCCAGCUGAGCUAUCAGGUGCCCAUCUUUUCUGGUCCCAGCAGUGGUGAGGAGAGCACAGGCAGGCCUCGCCCCUCCCUUGCUCACCCAGUUUCCCCUCCGGCACAAGCUUCCAGCUCUGCAGCUGGGGUGACAUCCCCAGUGGUUUGUCGCCAAGACCAUGUGGUGGACUUUUCGCCCCCCAAACUGAUGAGUCCGGGAGAAUAUAUGGAGAGAGAGAUGUAACAAGGGGAAGGCCUCCUCCCUUCUGAGCACACACACAACCGAUAACCAAAGAGAU
Molecule: long non-coding RNA, 789 nt
Filed under: Homo sapiens (human)
Lineage: Eukaryota; Metazoa; Chordata; Mammalia; Primates; Hominidae
Description: non-protein coding lnc-LEFTY1-5:2
Source: RNAcentral